GUGGGGAAUAUUGGACAAUGGGCGAAAGCCUGAUCCAGCCAUGCCGCGUGUGUGAAGAAGGUCUUCGGAUUGUAAAGCACUUUAAGUUGGGAGGAAGGGUAGUAACCUAAUACGUUGCUACUUUGACGUUACCGACAGAAUAAGCACCGGCUAACUUCGUGCCAGCAGCCGCGGUAAUACGAAGGGUGCAAGCGUUAAUCGGAAUUACUGGGCGUAAAGCGCGCGUAGGUGGUUCAGUAAGUUGGAAGUGAAAUCCCCGGGCUCAACCUGGGAACUGCCUCCAAAACUGCAUGACUAGAGUACGGUAGAGGGUAGUGGAAUUUCCUGUGUAGCGGUGAAAUGCGUAGAUAUAGGAAGGAACACCAGUGGCGAAGGCGACUACCUGGACUGAUACUGACACUGAGGUGCGAAAGCGUGGGGAGCAAACAGGAUUAGAAACCCUGGUAGUCC
Molecule: ribosomal RNA, 450 nt
Filed under: uncultured bacterium
Lineage: Bacteria
Description: partial 16S ribosomal RNA
Rfam family: Bacterial small subunit ribosomal RNA
Source: RNAcentral